CCUACGGGAGGCAGCAGUAGGGAAUAUUGGACAAUGGGUGCGAGCCUGAUCCAGCCAUGCCGCGUGCAGGAAGAAGGCCUUCUGGGUUGUAAACUGCUUUUAGCCGGGGGAUAAAAGACCCAUGCGUGGGGAAUUGAAGGUACUCGGUGAAUAAGCCACGGCUAACUACGUGCCAGCAGCCGCGGUAAUACGUAGGUGGCGAGCGUUGUCCGGAUUUAUUGGGUUUAAAGGGUGCGUAGGCGGCCCCGUAAGUCAGUGGUGAAAUACGGCAGCUCAACUGUCGAGGUGCCAUUGAUACUGCGGGGCUUGAGUACAGUCGAGGUAGGCGGAAUUGACGGUGUAGCGGUGAAAUGCUUAGAUAUCGUCAAGAACACCGAUAGCGAAGGCAGCUUGCUAGGCUGUAACUGGCGCUGAGGCACGAAAGUGCGGGGAUCAAACAGGAUUAGAUACCCUGGUAGUCCGCACAGUAAACGAUGGUCACUCGGUGUUGGCGGUACACGGCCAGCGCCUUAGCGAAAGCGUUAAGUGACCCACCUGGGGAGUACGCCCGCAGGGUGAAACGUCAAAGGAUUGACGG
Molecule: ribosomal RNA, 577 nt
Filed under: uncultured bacterium
Lineage: Bacteria
Description: bacterial SSU rRNA
Rfam family: Bacterial small subunit ribosomal RNA
Source: RNAcentral